Molecule: ribosomal RNA, 548 nt
Filed under: uncultured Septoglomus
Lineage: Eukaryota; Fungi; Glomeromycota; Glomeromycetes; Glomerales; Glomeraceae
Description: SSU rRNA
Rfam family: Eukaryotic small subunit ribosomal RNA
Source: RNAcentral
UUGGAGGGCAAGUCUGGUGCCAGCAGCCGCGGUAAUUCCAGCUCCAAUAGCGUAUAUUAAAGUUGUUGCAGUUAAAAAGCUCGUAGUUGAAUUUCGGGACCAAUUUGUCGGUCGUGCCUCGGUACGUACUGGUAUUAUUGGUUUCUACCUUCUGAAGAACCUUGAUGUCAUUAAUUUGGUGUCUUGGGGAAUCAGGACUGUUACUUUGAAAAAAUUAGAGUGUUUAAAGCAGGCAUGCGCUUGAAUACAUUAGCAUGGAAUAAUGAAAUAGGACGUUCGAUCCUAUUUUGUUGGUUUCUAGGAUUGACGUAAUGAUUAAUAGGGAUAGUUGGGGGCAUUAGUAUUCAAUUGUCAGAGGUGAAAUUCUUGGAUUUAUUGAAGACUGACUACUGCGAAAGCAUUUGCCAAGGAUGUUUUCAUUAAUCAAGAACGAAAGUUAGGGGAUCGAAGACGAUCAGAUACCGUCGUAGUCUUAACCAUAAACUAUGCCGACUAGGGAUCGGAUGAUGUUAAUUUUUUAAUGACUCAUUCGGCGCCUUACGGGAAAC